UUUGUCAAUCUCUUUCUUAGGCUGCUUUGCACUGAUCCAUGGAUCUAAAACCUCAUUUAUAGCAGCAGCAAACUCCCUACUCUUGAAUGAUUUCAUAACUAACUCGUGCAACUUCCCACGGGUAUAGCCAAUGAACUGCGGGUGUAAGCCAUGAAAAGCGGGUGUAGGCCAUGAAACAGACUGUAAUGUUUGCCGCUUUCAGAAUUUCCAUCACUAGGGAUAACAUCCAUUGUACUAUCAGCUUGUCCACUAUGCUUCGCCCUUCCUCUGGCAUUAGCUUCAGGAAUCCUGCCAGCAGAGCUAACU
RNAcentral lists this long non-coding RNA (306 nucleotides) under Linum usitatissimum (flax). RNAcentral's name for it is "long non-coding RNA (LUSI_LNC003221)". The record is from RNAcentral. Lineage: Eukaryota; Viridiplantae; Streptophyta; Magnoliopsida; Malpighiales; Linaceae.